UACGGAGGGGGCUAGCGUUGUUCGGAAUUACUGGGCGUAAAGCGCACGUAGGCGGCUUUGUAAGUUAGAGGUGAAAGCCCGGGGCUCAACUCCGGAAUUGCCUUUAAGACUGCAUCGCUAGAACGUCGGAGAGGUAAGUGGAAUUCCGAGUGUAGAGGUGAAAUGCGUAGAUAUCUGGAGGAACACCGGUGGCGAAGGCGGCAUCCUGGACCAACACUGACGCUGAGGAGCGAAAGCCAGGGGAGCAAACGGG
This 253-nucleotide ribosomal RNA is filed under the name uncultured bacterium. RNAcentral's name for it is "partial 16S ribosomal RNA". It matches the Rfam family "Bacterial small subunit ribosomal RNA", at positions 524 to 776 of the family's 1533-position model. The record is from RNAcentral.